Molecule: ribosomal RNA, 863 nt
Filed under: uncultured euryarchaeote
Lineage: Archaea; Methanobacteriati; Methanobacteriota
Description: bacterial SSU rRNA
Rfam family: Archaeal small subunit ribosomal RNA
Source: RNAcentral
AGGUUACUGCUAUCGAGGUUCGACUAAGCCAUGCGAGUCGAAUGCCGCAAGGCAUGGCGUACUGCUCAGUAACACGUGGACAACCUACCCUUUGGACGGGGAUAAACCCGGGAAACUGGGUAUAAUACCCGAUAGUCCUCGAAGGCUGGAAUGCGUCGAGGACGAAAGCUCCGGCGCCGAAGGAUGGGUCUGCGGCCUAUCAGGUAGUAGUGGGUGUAGCGUACCUACUAGCCUACGACGGGUACGGGUUGUGAGAGCAAGAGCCCGGAGAUGGAUUCUGAGACACGAAUCCAGGCCCUACGGGGUGCAGCAGGCGCGAAAACUUUACAAUGCUGGCAACAGCGAUAAGGGAACCUCGAGUGCCAGGUUACAAAUCUGGCUGUCGAGAUGCCUAAAAAGCAUUUCAUAGCAAGGGCCGGGCAAGACCGGUGCCAGCCGCCGCGGUAACACCGGCGGCUCGAGUGGUAACCGUUAUUAUUGGGUCUAAAGGGUCUGUAGCCGGCCGGAUAAGUCUCUUGGGAAAUCUGGCAGCUCAACUGUCAGGCUUUCAGGAGAUACUGUCUGGCUCGAGGCCGGGAGAGGUGAGAGGUACUUCAGGGGUAGGGGUGAAAUCUUGUAAUCCUUGAAGGACCACCAGUGGCGAAGGCGUCUCACCAGAACGGACCUGACGGCAAGGGACGAAAGCUAGGGGCACGAACCGGAUUAGAUACCCGGGUAGUCCUAGCCGUAAACGAUACUCGCUAGGUGUCGGCCACGGUGCGACCGUGGUCGGUGCCGUAGGGAAGCCGUGAAGCGAGCCACCUGGGAAGUACGGCCGCAAGGCUGAAACUUAAAGGAAUUGGCGGGGGAGCACAAUCUCUAGA